UCAUCCGAACGGGAGACCGCCGCCCGCGUUUUUUUGUAUCGCCGGCGGAGGAACUUCCGGACUCCAAGGGCAGGGCGCCGUACGAAAGUACGGGAGACGCGGGCAACACCCCGCGCCGACGGAAAGCGCAACAGAAAACAUACCGCCCGCUUCGGUUUGCUGAAGCGCGGUAAGGGUGAAAUGGCGGGGUAAGAGCCCGCCGCGCGGCCGGCAACGGCCGCGGCAUUGCAAACCCCGCUCGGAGCAAGGCCAAAUAUGCCGAUGCAGGGCCCCUGCGCCAAGGCAGAGUAGGCCGCAGAGAUAAAUGGUCUCCGCCCCGCGCUUACGCAAGGGGAACAGAAUCCGGGGUAUAGUUCGGAUACAAUU
Molecule: RNase P RNA, 366 nt
Filed under: Elusimicrobiota bacterium
Lineage: Bacteria; Pseudomonadati; Elusimicrobiota
Description: RNase P RNA component class A
Rfam family: Bacterial RNase P class A
About the family: Ribonuclease P (RNase P) is a ubiquitous endoribonuclease, found in archaea, bacteria and eukarya as well as chloroplasts and mitochondria. Its best characterised activity is the generation of mature 5'-ends of tRNAs by cleaving the 5'-leader elements of precursor-tRNAs.
Source: RNAcentral